CAGCAGCCGCGGGAAUACAGAGGAUGCAAGCGUUAUCCGGAAUGAUUGGGCGUAAAGCGUCUGUAGGUGGCUUUUCAAGUCCGCCGUCAAAUCCCAGGGCUCAACCCCGGACAGGCGGUGGAAACUACCAAGCUGGAGUACGGUAGGGACAGAGGGAAUUUCCGGUGGAGCGGUGAAAUGCGUUGAGAUCGGAAAGAACACCAACGGCGGAAGCACUCUGCUGGGCCGACACUGACACUGAGAGACGAAAGCUAGGGGAGCAAAUGGGAUUAGAUACCCCCGUAGUCCCUGUCUCUUAUAC
RNAcentral lists this ribosomal RNA (301 nucleotides) under uncultured bacterium. Its description in RNAcentral is "partial 16S ribosomal RNA". It matches the Rfam family "Bacterial small subunit ribosomal RNA", at positions 509 to 807 of the family's 1533-position model. The record is from RNAcentral.